RNAcentral lists this ribosomal RNA (296 nucleotides) under Salmonella enterica subsp. enterica serovar Montevideo. RNAcentral describes it as "partial 23S ribosomal RNA". It matches the Rfam family "Bacterial large subunit ribosomal RNA", at positions 2629 to 2925 of the family's 2925-position model. The record is from RNAcentral. Lineage: Bacteria; Pseudomonadati; Pseudomonadota; Gammaproteobacteria; Enterobacterales; Enterobacteriaceae.
GUUCGGUCCCUAUCUACCGUGGGCGUUGGAAAUUUGAGAGGAUCUGCUCCUAGUACGAGAGGACCAGAGUGGACGAACCUCUGGUGUUUCGGUUGUGACGCCAGUCGCAUUGCCGAGUAGCUAUGUUCGGAUGGGAUAACCGCUGAAAGCAUCUAAGCGGGAAGCCCACCUUAAGAUUAGAUUUCCCUAAAGAGCCGUUGUAGACUACGACGUUGAUAGGUUGGGUGUGGAAGCACAGCGAUGUGUGUAGCUAACCAAUACUAAUUGCUCGUUUGGCUUGACUAUACAACGCCUAA